GGUCCCAUCGUCUAGAGGCCUAGGACACCGCCCUUUCACGGCGGUGACACGAGUUCGAAUCUCGUUGGGACUACCA
RNAcentral lists this transfer RNA (76 nucleotides) under Bacillota bacterium. RNAcentral describes it as "tRNA-Glu". It matches the Rfam family "tRNA". From Rfam's summary of the family: Transfer RNA (tRNA) molecules are approximately 80 nucleotides in length. Their secondary structure includes four short double-helical elements and three loops (D, anti-codon, and T loops). Further hydrogen bonds mediate the characteristic L-shaped molecular structure. tRNAs have two regions of fundamental functional importance: the anti-codon, which is responsible for specific mRNA codon recognition, and the 3' end, to which the tRNAs corresponding amino acid is attached (by aminoacyl-tRNA synthetases). tRNAs cope with the degeneracy of the genetic code in two manners: having more than one tRNA (with a specific anti-codon) for a particular amino acid; and 'wobble' base-pairing, i.e. permitting non-standard base-pairing at the 3rd anti-codon position. The record is from RNAcentral. Lineage: Bacteria; Bacillati; Bacillota.